Long non-coding RNA from Oncorhynchus keta (chum salmon), 1361 nucleotides. RefSeq lists it as uncharacterized. The record is from RefSeq and is a predicted model, not a curated record. The transcript is spliced from 4 exons. Lineage: Eukaryota; Metazoa; Chordata; Actinopteri; Salmoniformes; Salmonidae.
CGGGGUUACAACAAAAUGGUGUACUUUUGGGGACCCAAGGACUGGAGUUGGGAAACGCUGCUUUAUGUGCUUGGUCAGCAUUAUAAUAUUCAACACUGGCACACUAACAUUACAGGAUUCAAAGGGUUCCAUUUGUGUCAACUAACUGCAACCAAUUCUCUGCGCAAGCAACCACGACAUUUGCAGAACUUAUGACUUCAACAAAAUCAGCAGUAGGUUGUGUUAGCAGUGACACUGACAUUUACCAUAAGUCAAACGACCAACUUAAAAUGGGGGAGAGAGGAAGGGCAAGGAGAAAAUGUCCUCCUUGAAGAUUUUUGACCUCUUUAUCUCCCCGUCUCUCCCGCCCUCUCUGCUGUUGGACCAGGCAUCAAUGGGAGUCCAAUCUCUAACCUGCCAAUUUAAAUAAAUGAUCCAGACCUUGGCUGAUCAUUUGUUAACCUACUCCAACAGUCUAGUGUCAAUCCUUCCAAGCCUGUCCCCUUGACAACAAAACACUAUAAGGUCUGUGUUGUAUUCAUCAUUUCACUGUAAGGUCUACAUGUGUUGUAUUCAUUAUUUCACUGUAAGGUCUACAUGUGUUGUAUUCAUUAUUUCACUGUAAGGUCUACAUGUGUUGUAUUCAUUAUUUCACUGUAAGGUCUACAUGUGUUGUAUUCAUUAUUUCACUGUAAGGUCUACAUGUGUUGUAUUCAUCAUUUCACUGUAAGGUCUACAUGUGUUGUAUUCAUUAUUUCACUGUAAGGUCUACAUGUGUUGUAUUCAUUAUUUCACUGUAAGGUCUACAUGUGUUGUAUUCAUUAUUUCACUGUAAGGUCUACACCUGGUGUCAUCAUUUCACUGUAAGGUCUACAUGUGUUGUAUUCAUUAUUUCACUGUAAGGUCUACACCUGGUGUCAUCAUUUCACUGUAAGGUCUACAUGUGUUGUAUUCAUUAUUUCACUGUAAGGUCUACACCUGGUGUCAUCAUUUCACUGUAAGGUCUACAUGUGUUGUAUUCAUUAUUUCACUGUAAGGUCUACAUGUGUUGUAUUCAUUAUUUCACUGUAAGGUCUACAUGUGUUGUAUUCAUUAUUUCACUGUAAGGUCUACAUGUGUUGUAUUCAUUAUUUCACUGUAAGGUCUACAUGUGUUGUCUUCAUUUCACUGUAAGGUUGUAUUCGGCGCAUGUCACAAAAUACCAUUUGAUUUGAUCACGACUGCAAUAAAGACAACCUGGAACCUCAACCACAGGGUUGUGUUUCACCAAGCAGGAUCGAUCAGCUAACCAGGUAACACUAAUCAAAUACUUAUUUUCUGAAUGGGAAAGAGAACAUAAGUUGAAUACAGAGGUAAUACAGAAUAUUUUGGAAAGUGAACUG